GCGUUGAAGCGGAAGGUUGCCGCACUUGAUGCGGGUUUUUUCGUGGAGUAUGUCCGAUUUUAAACCGGGCGAC
Molecule: non-coding RNA, 73 nt
Filed under: Massiliimalia timonensis
Lineage: Bacteria; Bacillati; Bacillota; Clostridia; Eubacteriales; Oscillospiraceae
Also listed under: 1 other name
Description: S10-Clostridia ribosomal protein leader
Rfam family: S10-Clostridia ribosomal protein leader
Source: RNAcentral